GCGCCCAUGGUGGAAUGGCAGACACACUAGGCUGAGACCCUAGGCUCGAAUGAGCGUCCGAGUUCGAUUCUCGGUGGGCGUA
Molecule: transfer RNA, 82 nt
Filed under: Streptomyces phage LukeCage
Lineage: Duplodnaviria; Heunggongvirae; Uroviricota; Caudoviricetes; Stanwilliamsviridae
Description: tRNA-Leu
Rfam family: tRNA
About the family: Transfer RNA (tRNA) molecules are approximately 80 nucleotides in length. Their secondary structure includes four short double-helical elements and three loops (D, anti-codon, and T loops).
Source: RNAcentral